RNAcentral lists this ribosomal RNA (253 nucleotides) under uncultured bacterium. RNAcentral's name for it is "partial 16S ribosomal RNA". It matches the Rfam family "Bacterial small subunit ribosomal RNA", at positions 524 to 776 of the family's 1533-position model. The record is from RNAcentral.
UACAGAGGGGGCGAGCGUUGUUCGGAAUUACUGGGCGUAAAGGGCGCGUAGGCGGCCUUCUAAGUCGAACGUGAAAUCCCCGGGCUCAACCCGGGAACUGCGUCCGAUACUGGGAGGCUUGAAUCCGGGAGAGGGAUGUGGAAUUCCAGGUGUAGCGGUGAAAUGCGUAGAUAUCAGGAGGAACACCGAUGGCGAAGGCAGUGGGCUGGGCCGGCACUGACGCUGAGGAGCGAAAGCGUGGGGAGCGAACAGG